GACGUAGGUUGCAAACGUUAUCCGGAAUUAUUGGGCGUAAAGAGUUCGUAGGUGGACUUCUAAGUAGAUUGUUAAAGACCAGGGCUUAACUCUGGCAAGGCAGUCUAAACUGGGAGACUAGAGAAAGGUAGAGGCAAAUAGAAUUCUGUGUGUAGGGGUAAUAUCCGUAGAUACACAGAGGAAUACCAAAAGCGAAGGCAUUUUGCUGGACCUUUUCUGACACUCAAGAACGAAAGCGUGGGGAGCAAACAGG
This 253-nucleotide ribosomal RNA is filed under the name uncultured bacterium. RNAcentral describes it as "partial 16S ribosomal RNA". It matches the Rfam family "Bacterial small subunit ribosomal RNA", at positions 524 to 776 of the family's 1533-position model. The record is from RNAcentral.